GGACCCGCACAAGUAGUGGAGCAUGUGGUUUAAUUCGAAGAUACGCGCAGAACCUUACCAACACUUGACAUGUUCGUCGCGACUUUAAGAGAUUAAAGUUUUCGGUUCGGCCGGACGAAACACAGGUGCUGCAUGGCUGUCGUCAGCUCGUGUCGUGAGAUGUUGGGUUAAGUCCCGCAACGAGCGACAACCCUCACUUUUAGUUGCCAUCAUUAAAGUUGGGCACUCUGAAAAGAACUGCCAGUGAUAAGCUGGAGGAAGGUGGGGAUGACGUCAAGUCCUCAUGGCCCUUACGUGUUGGGCUACACACGUGCUACAAAUGGUAUCUACAACAGGAAAGCAAGACUGCGAAGUU
Molecule: ribosomal RNA, 355 nt
Filed under: uncultured bacterium
Lineage: Bacteria
Description: bacterial SSU rRNA
Rfam family: Bacterial small subunit ribosomal RNA
Source: RNAcentral